CGCGUUGGUGACCUGCCCCGAAGAGGGGGAUAACAGUCCGAAAGGAUUGCUAAUACCCCAUGUGGUCAAGAGGAUUAGAUGCCUUAUGACUAAACGGAGAAAUUCGCUUCGGGAGGGGCCUGCGUCCCAUCAGCUAGUUGGUAGGGUAAUAGCCUACCAAGGCGAUGACGGGUAGGGGACCUGAGAGGGUGGCCCCCCACAAUGGAACUGAAACACGGUCCAUACACCUACGGGUGGCAGCAGUAGGGAAUAUUGGUAAUCUGGGAAACCGGGAACCAGCAACGCCGCGUGCGCGAUGAAGGCCUUCGGGUUGUAAAGCGCUUUUUGAGAGGAUGAGGAAGGACAGUACUCUUAGAAUAAGCCUCGGCUAACUACGUGCCAGCAGCCGCGGUAAAACGUAGGAGGCGAGCGUUAUCCGGAUUUACUGGGCGUAAAGCGUGUGUAGGCGGUUUGAUAAGUUGGAUGUGAAAGCUCCUGGCUUAACUGGGAGAGGUCGUUCAAAACUAUCAGACUUGAGAGUGGUAGAGGGAGGUGGAAUUCCGCAUGUAGUGGUGAAAUGCGUAGAUAUGCGGAGGAACACCAGUGGCGAAAGCGGCCUCCUGGCCCAUUUCUGACGCUCAGACACGAAAGCUAAGGUAGCAGACGGGAUUAGAGACCCCGGUAGUCUUAGCUGUAAACGAUGUGAACUUAGUGUCGGUGGGGUUAAAUCCAUCGGUACUGAAGCUAACGCGAUAAGUUCACCGCCUGAGGACUACGGCCGCAAGGUUAAAACUCAAAGGAAUUGACGGGGCCCCGCACAAGCAGCGGAACCGUGUGGUUUAAUUCGAUGUUACACGAAGAACCUUACCAGGGUUUGACAUGCAAGUUGGUAGGAAACCGAAAGGCGACCGACCCUUUCGGGGAGCUUGCACAGGUGCUGCAUGGCUGUCGUCAGCUCGUG
This 940-nucleotide ribosomal RNA is filed under the name uncultured bacterium. RNAcentral's name for it is "bacterial SSU rRNA". It matches the Rfam family "Bacterial small subunit ribosomal RNA", at positions 114 to 1064 of the family's 1533-position model. The record is from RNAcentral.